RNAcentral lists this ribosomal RNA (1361 nucleotides) under Arthrobacter sp. HLB1. RNAcentral's name for it is "bacterial SSU rRNA". It matches the Rfam family "Bacterial small subunit ribosomal RNA", at positions 77 to 1438 of the family's 1533-position model. The record is from RNAcentral. Lineage: Bacteria; Bacillati; Actinomycetota; Actinomycetes; Micrococcales; Micrococcaceae.
CGCUUGCGGGGGGAUUAGUGGCGAACGGGUGAGUAACACGUGAGUAACCUGCCCUUAACUCUGGGAUAAGCCUUGGAAACGAGGUCUAAUACUGGAUAUUGACUUUACCUCGCAUGGGGUUUUGUUGAAAGAUUUAUUGGUUUUGGAUGGACUCGCGGCCUAUCAGCUUGUUGGUGAGGUAAUGGCUCACCAAGGCGACGACGGGUAGCCGGCCUGAGAGGGUGACCGGCCACACUGGGACUGAGACACGGCCCAGACUCCUACGGGAGGCAGCAGUGGGGAAUAUUGCACAAUGGGCGAAAGCCUGAUGCAGCGACGCCGCGUGAGGGAUGACGGCCUUCGGGUUGUAAACCUCUUUCAGUAGGGAACAAGGCCAGCAUUUUUGUUGGUUGAGGGUACUUGCAGAAGAAGCGCCGGCUAACUACGUGCCAGCAGCCGCGGUGAUACGUAGGGCGCAAGCGUUAUCCGGAAUUAUUGGGCGUAAAGAGCUCGUAGGCGGUUUGUCGCGUCUGCCGUGAAAGUCCGGGGCUCAACCCCGGAUCUGCGGUGGGUACGGGCAGACUAGAGUGAUGUAGGGGAGACUGGAAUUCCUGGUGUAGCGGUGAAAUGCGCAGAUAUCAGGAGGAACACCGAUGGCGAAGGCAGGUCUCUGGGCAUUAACUGACGCUGAGGAGCGAAAGCAUGGGGAGCGAACAGGAUUAGAUACCCUGGUAGUCCAUGCCGUAAACGUUGGGCACUAGGUGUGGGGGACAUUCCACGUUUUCCGCGCCGUAGCUAACGCAUUAAGUGCCCCGCCUGGGGAGUACGGCCGCAAGGCUAAAACUCAAAGGAAUUGACGGGGGCCCGCACAAGCGGCGGAGCAUGCGGAUUAAUUCGAUGCAACGCGAAGAACCUUACCAAGGCUUGACAUGAACUGGAAAUACCUGGAAACAGGUGCCCCGCUUGCGGUCGGUUUACAGGUGGUGCAUGGUUGUCGUCAGCUCGUGUCGUGAGAUGUUGGGUUAAGUCCCGCAACGAGCGCAACCCUCGUUCUAUGUUGCCAGCACGUUAUGGUGGGGACUCAUAGGAGACUGCCGGGGUCAACUCGGAGGAAGGUGAGGACGACGUCAAAUCAUCAUGCCCCUUAUGUCUUGGGCUUCACGCAUGCUACAAUGGCCGGUACAAUGGGUUGCGAUACUGUGAGGUGGAGCUAAUCCCAAAAAGCCGGUCUCAGUUCGGAUUGGGGUCUGCAACUCGACCCCAUGAAGUCGGAGUCGCUAGUAAUCGCAGAUCAGCAACGCUGCGGUGAAUACGUUCCCGGGCCUUGUACACACCGCCCGUCAAGUCACGAAAGUUGGUAACACCCGAAGCCGGUGGCCUAA